RNAcentral lists this ribosomal RNA (109 nucleotides) under uncultured bacterium. RNAcentral's name for it is "partial 16S ribosomal RNA". The record is from RNAcentral.
AAGGCCUGCGGGUUGUAAAGCACUUUUAGUGGGGACAAAAAAGCCACGGAUUAAUACUUCGUGGUCUUGAUUUAACCCAAACGAAAAAAGCACCGGCUAACUCCUGUGC